Molecule: long non-coding RNA, 230 nt
Organism: Oreochromis aureus
Lineage: Eukaryota; Metazoa; Chordata; Actinopteri; Cichliformes; Cichlidae
Exons: 2
Source: RefSeq, a predicted model, not a curated record
GGGCAGGGAGAUACGUGGGUGAGAUAUAUGAGCGUUUCCGCUCCCGAUUACCGGCGGAGAAGUGGUCAUUUCGUGAGAAGUGUGCGUUACUGAGCAACAGACCACACACACACACCCACACACACCCGCUCAUAUCCACACCGAUGCACCUAAACUUGUAUGUAACACCUGCUCCUCUGGCAAGCCUGUUACCUCUGACCGUGUGAAGGCAAUACAAGCGUCUAAACCAU